GACGAACACUGGCGGCGUGCUUAACACAUGCAAGUCGAACGGUAAGGCCCUUCGGGGUACACGAGUGGCGAACGGGUGAGUAACACGUGGGUGAUCUGCCCUGCACUUCGGGAUAAGCCUGGGAAACUGGGUCUAAUACCGGCUAGGACUCCUGGCUUCAUGGUUGGGGGUGGAAAGCUUUUGCGGUGUGGGAUGGGCCCGCGGCCUAUCAGCUUGUUGGUGGGGUAAUGGCCUACCAAGGCGACGACGGGUAGCCGGCCUGAGAGGGUGACCGGUCACACUGGGACUGUGAUAAGGCCCAGACUCCAACGAGAAGCAGCAGUGGGGAAUAUUGCACAAUGGGCGGAAGCCUGAUGCAGCGACGCCGCGUGAGGGAUGACGGCCUUCGGGUUGUAAACCUCUUUCAGCACCGACGAAGCGCAAGUGACGGUAGGUGCAGAAGAAGGACCGGCCAACUACGUGCCAGCCGCCGCGGUAA
Molecule: ribosomal RNA, 478 nt
Filed under: uncultured bacterium
Lineage: Bacteria
Description: partial 16S ribosomal RNA
Rfam family: Bacterial small subunit ribosomal RNA
Source: RNAcentral